RNAcentral lists this ribosomal RNA (497 nucleotides) under uncultured bacterium. RNAcentral's name for it is "partial 16S ribosomal RNA". It matches the Rfam family "Bacterial small subunit ribosomal RNA", at positions 28 to 507 of the family's 1533-position model. The record is from RNAcentral.
GAUGAACGCUGGCGGCGUGCCUAAUACAUGCAAGUCGAGCGAACAGACGAGGAGCUUGCUCCUCUGACGUUAGCGGCGGACGGGUGAGUAACACGUGGAUAACCUACCUAUAAGACUGGGAUAACUUCGGGAAACCGGAGCUAAUACCGGAUAAUAUCUUGAACCGCAUGGUUCAAUAGUGAAAGACGGUUUUGCUGUCACUUAUAGAUGGAUCCGGGCCGCAUUAGCUAGUUGGUAAGGUAACGGGUUACCAAGGCGAGGAUGCGUAGCCGACCUGAGAGAGGGGUAGGCCGCCUGGGAACUGAGACGCGCUCCAGGCGCCUGCGGGACGGAGCAGUAGGGAAUGGUCCGCAAAGGGGGGGAACCUUACGGAGCAGCGGGAAGCGUGAUGUAGAAAUGUUCGGUGCGUAAAACCCUGUUAUUAGGGGAGAACAAAUGUGUAAGGAAAUAUGCACGGCUUGACGGUACCGGAUCAGAAAGCAACGGCUAACUACGUG